GAUGAACGCUAGCUACAGGCUUAACACAUGCAAGUCGAGGGGAAACGACAUCGAAAGCUUGCUUUUGAUGGGCGUCGACCGGCGCACGGGUGAGUAACGCGUAUCCAACCUGCCCAUCACUUGGGGAUAACCUUGCGAAAGUAAGACUAAUACCCAAUGAUAUCUCUAGAAGACAUCUGAAAGAGAUUAAAGAUUUAUCGGUGAUGGAUGGGGAUGCGUCUGAUUAGCUUGUUGGCGGGGUAACGGCCCACCAAGGCAACGAUCAGUAGGGGUUCUGAGAGGAAGGUCCCCCACAUUGGAACUGAGACACGGUCCAAACUCCUACGGGAGGCAGCAGUGAGGAAUAUUGAUCAAUGGGCGAGAGCCUGAACCAGCCAAGUAGCGUGCAGGAAGACGGCCCUAUGGGUUGUAAACUGCUUUUAGAAGGGAAUAAAGUGAGAGUCGUGACUCUUUUUGUAUGUACCUUAUGAAUAAGGACCGGCUAAUUCCGUG
This 492-nucleotide ribosomal RNA is filed under the name uncultured bacterium. RNAcentral's name for it is "partial 16S ribosomal RNA". It matches the Rfam family "Bacterial small subunit ribosomal RNA", at positions 28 to 507 of the family's 1533-position model. The record is from RNAcentral.